UCCUACGGGGGGCAGCAGUGGGGGAUAUUGCACAAUGGGGGGAACCCUGAUGCAGCGACGCCGCGUGGGCGAUGGAGUGCUUCGGCAUGUAAAGCCCUAUCAGCAGGGAAGAAAAUGACGGUACCUGACUAAGAAGCCCCGGCUAAAUACGUGCCAGCAGCCGCGGUAAUACGUAUGGGGCAAGCGUUAUCCGGAUUUACUGGGUGUAAAGGGAGCGUAGGCGGCCUGGCGAGCCUGAUGUGAAAUACCGGGGCCCAACCCCGGAACUGCUUUGGAAACUGUGCAGCUAGAGUGCGGGAGAGGUA
This 305-nucleotide ribosomal RNA is filed under the name uncultured bacterium. RNAcentral's name for it is "bacterial SSU rRNA". It matches the Rfam family "Bacterial small subunit ribosomal RNA", at positions 337 to 659 of the family's 1533-position model. The record is from RNAcentral.